CCUACGGGUGGCAGCAGUGAGGAAUAUUGGUCAAUGGGCGCGAGCCUGAACCAGCCAAGUAGCGUGAAGGACGACUGCCCUACGGGUUGUAAACUUUCUUUAUAAAGGAAUAAAGUGAGGCACGUGUGCCUUUUUGUAUGUACUUUAUGAAUAAGGAUCGGCUAACUCCGUGCCAGCAGCCGCGGUAAUACGGAGGAUCCGAGCGUUAUCCGGAUUUAUUGGGUUUAAGGGGAGCGUAGAUGGGUUGUUAAGUCAGUUGUGAAAGGUUGCGGCUCAACCGUAAAAUUGCAAUUGAUACUGGCUGCCUUGAGUACAGUUGAGGUAGGCGGAAUUCGUGGUGUAGCGGUGAAAUGCUUAGAUAUCACGAAGAACUCCGAUUGCGAAGGCAGCUUACUAAACUGCCACUGACAUUGAUGCUCGAAAGUGUGGGUAUCAAACAGGAUUAGAUACCCUGGUAGUC
This 460-nucleotide ribosomal RNA is filed under the name uncultured bacterium. Its description in RNAcentral is "partial 16S ribosomal RNA". It matches the Rfam family "Bacterial small subunit ribosomal RNA", at positions 338 to 795 of the family's 1533-position model. The record is from RNAcentral.